Molecule: ribosomal RNA, 468 nt
Filed under: uncultured bacterium
Lineage: Bacteria
Description: partial 16S ribosomal RNA
Rfam family: Bacterial small subunit ribosomal RNA
Source: RNAcentral
GACGAACGCUGGCGGCGUGCUUAACACAUGCAAGUCGAACGGAAAGGCCCUGCUUUUGUUGGUUUCUCGAUUGGCGAACGGGUGAGUAACACGUGAGUAACCUGCCCUUGUCUGUGGGAUAACAUCACGAAACUGGGGCUAAUACCGCAUAUGAUCUCCUGCUGUAUGGUGGGGGUUGGAAAGUUUCGGCGGUUCGGGAUCGACUCGCUGCUUAUCCGCUUCUUUGGGUGGUAGGUGCUGACCAAGGCUUUGACGGAUAGGCGGCCUGAGAGGGUGACCGGCGACCUGGGGACUGAGAUACGGCGCAGUAUCCUAUGGGAGGCAGUAGGGGGGAACAUUGCACAAUGGGCGGAAGUGAGAGGCAGCAACGUCGCGUGCGGGAUGACGGCCUUCGGGUUGUAAACCGCUUUCGACUGUGCCGAAGAGUGAGUGACGGUACUGGGUAAAAAAGCACCGGCUAACUACGUG